RNAcentral lists this unclassified non-coding RNA (217 nucleotides) under uncultured Chlorophyllum. RNAcentral's name for it is "sequence contains ITS1". Lineage: Eukaryota; Fungi; Basidiomycota; Agaricomycetes; Agaricales; Agaricaceae. The record is from RNAcentral.
AUGAAUGCCAUUUGAUAGUGUUGUCGCUGGCUCCUUGGAGCAUGUGCACGCCUGUCUUGGAUUCUAUUCAUCCCCCUGUGCACUUUUUGUAGACUUUUUAGACAGGAAUUGAGGAUUGCUUUUGUGAGCUCUCCUCUGUACGUCUGCUCUGAAGUCUAUGUAUUUACUUCAUAAACGAAUAACAUUGAAUGUUUUUGAUUGCAUAUAAAAUGCUAUA